AUUGAACGCUGGCGGCAGGCCUAACACAUGCAAGUCGAGCGGCAGCGACUUAACUGAACCUUCGGGGAACGUUAAGGGCGGCGAGCGGCGGACGGGUGAGUAAUGCCUGGGAAUAUGCCCUGAUGUGGGGGAUAACUAUUGGAAACGAUAGCUAAUACCGCAUAAUCUCUUCGGAGCAAAGAGGGGGACCUUCGGGCCUCUCGCGUCAGGAUUAGCCCAGGUGGGAUUAGCUUGUUGGUGAGGUAAUGGCUCACCAAGGCUACGAUCCCUAGCUGGUCUGAGAGGAUGAUCAGCCACACUGGAACUGAGACACGGUCCAGACUCCUACGGGAGGCAGCAGUGGGGAAUAUUGCACAAUGGGGGAAACCCUGAUGCAGCCAUGCCGCGUGUGUGAAGAAGGCCUUCGGGUUGUAAAGCACUUUCAGUAGGGAGGAAGGUAGUGUAGUUAACACCUGCAUUAUUUGACGUUACCUACAGAAGAAGCACCGGCUAACUCCGUGCCAGCAGCCGCGGUAAUACGGAGGGUGCGAGCGUUAAUCGGAAUUACUGGGCGUAAAGCGCAUGCAGGCGGCCUGUUAAGUCAGAUGUGAAAGCCCGGGGCUUAACCUCGGAAUUGCAUUUGAAACUGGCAGGCUAGAGUCUUGUAGAGGGGGGUAGAAUUUCAGGUGUAGCGGUGAAAUGCGUAGAGAUCUGAAGGAAUACCAGUGGCGAAGGCGGCCCCCUGGACAAAGACUGACGCUCAGAUGCGAAAGCGUGGGGAGCAAACAGG
This 769-nucleotide ribosomal RNA is filed under the name uncultured bacterium. RNAcentral's name for it is "bacterial SSU rRNA". It matches the Rfam family "Bacterial small subunit ribosomal RNA", at positions 28 to 776 of the family's 1533-position model. The record is from RNAcentral.